UACGUAGAGUGCGAGCAUUAUCCGGAUUUACUGGGCGUAAAGCGUCCGUCGGUGACUUGGUAAGUUCUUUGUCCAAGCCUGGAGCUUAACUUCAGAAAGGCAGAGAAAACUACCAAGAUUGAGUAUGUUCGGGGAACCUGGAAUUCUCGGUGGAGGGGUGAAAUCCGUAGAUAUCGAGAGGAACGCCAAGCGCGAAGGCUGGGUUCUAGGACAUUACUGACACUCAGGGACGAAAGCUAGGGGAGCAAAAGGG
This 253-nucleotide ribosomal RNA is filed under the name uncultured bacterium. RNAcentral describes it as "partial 16S ribosomal RNA". It matches the Rfam family "Bacterial small subunit ribosomal RNA", at positions 524 to 776 of the family's 1533-position model. The record is from RNAcentral.